Lolium perenne is the source of this 1540-nucleotide non-coding RNA. Lineage: Eukaryota; Viridiplantae; Streptophyta; Magnoliopsida; Poales; Poaceae. The record is from RefSeq and is a predicted model, not a curated record.
GCGGGCCGCGCCAGAAAUCUCUCCUAUCUUUCCCUUCAUCGCACCUGUCGAAAACUCGAAGUCCUGGCAAUGGCAGAUGACCAUGGCGUCUGAUGGCAUGGCGCCGAAGAAGCAGCGCUGAGGAUGAAGCUGGCCUAAGAGAUCCUCCACGGAUCCAAGCCCAUGCGCAUCGAGCUCACCUGCCGCCGCCACCAUGGAUUCUUCUGCGCCUCACCUCCCUUGCCCUUCAUCUCACGCACGCGAUUCCAGUGUCUCGGUGUAAGGAGAGAAGCGGCCAAAACCACCAUCCACAUCCCAGAUCUGAUGGACGCGGUGGCCGGAAAACCCAUCACCGAUGACUCACCUGACCAUGGUGGGCUCGAAUCUAGGUUCUCUGGGACCGGAUCUGGUGUUUGGCGGCGGCGACCAGAACCACCACGAGGACCACGGCGGACGCACCACCAACUCCGGCAUCAACGGCCCGAGCCGCAUGAAUCUCCGGCCACUGUGAGACAUGGAACUCCAUUUAGCCUCACUGCCAGAUGAUCAAUAGAGAAGGAGGGGUAGGAGGGCAACAACAUAAGUUGGACCACAUGCCUGGUGGCAUGGAAGUAUAAAAGAAAAAUAUCAAAUUCAUAUACUCUGCUCCGUCGCGGCUAUCUCAACUAUGGCGUGAGUGGACUGUUGGUGUUCAAAAGCGGCUUCGACUACUCCUUGACUUCGGUAUGUGCAGCGGUCAGGCGUCUAGAGCCGGCGUAGGAUGGGGCGAAAUACCGGGUUGGCCUUGAGCUCUCAGUGGAUGUCCGCAGCAAGGUGGAUCCACCUAUAUAUGCAUGAUGUUGCCAUUACUUAAAACCAGAACAUCAUUACUAUGAAUUGUUGUAGGUAUAGGUCACCCGGACAUCUGCAAUUUAGAUGAGAUGACAAUCUUUUAAAAAAGAUUUUUAUCUCAACGCGCAUGAACUGGACCAUUGGUAAUUUGUUGAUUUGCUUUCGGGGAAGUUAACUCUGGAUUUUUUUCUCCUGUUGCACCAGGGCGACCCAACUAGGUGUCAUUUUCAGGCCAUCUCUCUAGCUGCAUAUUCUGAUGUCUGGUGUCAUGGAAGAUGAUUCGUCUUGGGAGGCUCAUUCAUUUGAGCGCAUUAGAGUUCCUCCAUUCAACUUUCAAGUUGUUUCAGAGGCUGUCAAUGAAGGAAACUAACUCCCAUUUUCAUUGGACAAUGUUGAUAUCCUGGAGAAAAUUUUCACCUUCUUGCCAAUAACAAGCAUGAUUCAACAGCAGUAUGUGAUGACCCACAAGUAUAGGGGGUGUAUCGUAGUAUCUUCGAUAAGUAAGAAUGUCGAUCCCAACGAGGAGCAGAAGGUAUUGACAAGCAGUUUCGAUGAAGGAUUCACUGUAAAUGCUCACAGACAAGUAUUCAGGGGGUUUUGAUGUAACAGUUGAAUAAAGUACGAGUAAGUAAAGUGCGAGAGUAAUAAUUGCAGCGAGUGGUCCAAUCCUUUUUAGCACAAAGGACAAGCCGGUUUGUUUACUUAUAAUGACCAAACGUUCUCGAGGACA